GACGAACGCUAGCGGCAGGCCUAACACAUGCAAGUCGAGGGGUAGAAGGAGCUUGCUCCUUUGAGACCGGCGCACGGGUGCGUAACGCGUAUGCAAUCUACCUUGUACAGGGGAAUAGCCCAGAGAAAUUUGGAUUAAUGCUCCAUAGUAUAUAACCUUCGCAUGUUGGUUAUAUUAAAGUUCCAACGGUACAAGAUGAGCAUGCGUCCCUUUAGCUAGUUGGUAAGGUAACGGCUUACUAAGACGAUGAUGGGUAGGGGUUCUGAGAGGGAGAUCCCCGACACUGGUACUGGGACACGGACCAGACUCCUACGAGCAGCAGCAAUGAGGAGUAUUGGGCAAAGAGCGCAAGACUGAACCAGCGAUGCCGCGUGCAGGAAGACGGUCCUAUGGAUUGUAAACUGCUUUUAUACAGGAAGAAACCCUCCCACGUGUGGGAGCUUGACGGUACUGUAGGAAUAAGGAUCGGCUAACUCCGUG
This 480-nucleotide ribosomal RNA is filed under the name uncultured bacterium. RNAcentral's name for it is "partial 16S ribosomal RNA". It matches the Rfam family "Bacterial small subunit ribosomal RNA", at positions 28 to 507 of the family's 1533-position model. The record is from RNAcentral.